Molecule: long non-coding RNA, 1088 nt
Filed under: Oncorhynchus kisutch (coho salmon)
Lineage: Eukaryota; Metazoa; Chordata; Actinopteri; Salmoniformes; Salmonidae
Description: lncRNA (ENSOKIG00005018057.1)
Source: RNAcentral
AUCUUCAAGAUGCUAGAGUGAUAAUAUUGUUAUUCCAAUCCCAUUCCACAUGUACUUCAUCUUUUUGAGUGCAAGAUCUAGGCCUACUCUCACUUUCGUGUCUUGCAUGUUGGUUACCAUGCCAACCCAUAUUCGGUUCGCGCUGCUCAAACUUGGAAGCAAACGCCAAACACUGAUACAAGUCAACGAAGCUAGCUAUUUGCAUAUAUUUUACAUUCGACAUGGCAUCUUGCUUAGUGCCUGACUUUCCAGCUGUUCUGGUUGCUUUGGAGCAUUUGGGCGAAUUAGACAAGCAGCUGAGGGAUGAGGGAGUUCCAUUCAGUCCUGAGGCCAGUCAUCACCUGAAAGAAAUAGCUGCUGCCAUCACUGAACUGGAGACUUCCAGAAGAGUAGUCCAUGAACAACUGGAGGUAGAAACUAUUGAAACAAGCAAACUCCGACAUCAAUGCCAGAAUAUCCAUGAUGAUGUUCAGAAUGAGAUAUCAGCUGGUGUUGCGGCUGCAAGAAAUAUAAAUGCGGGUCAAAUUACUCAACUCCAAGAUGAACUGAACAGUAUAGUGCAAGAAAUAGAAUUAAUGGAGAAAAAACAGGAAGUCCUUGAAAAGCAAAAUGCUAUUCUUUAUCCUGAGAGAGAGUUGGUAAAAGGUGACCAUGAAAAUGUCAUCAACCAAUUAAACUACCAGCUGUCAGAGAAGGCCAAUAAACAGAUUCUGCUCAAUGAAACAAUGAACGAGAUCAAAGAAGGGAAAGCCAAGAUCACAGAUGUGGAGAACACUAAAGUGGAGCUAGAGGAAGACAUGAUUCAAGAGAGGAAGAUGUUUGUUGAAACAAAUGAGAAUCUUCAGAGAGAGUGUGAGGAAGUCAUCAAUAACAUACAGGACCAGAAGAAGAACAAUGAGAAGAAACGCAGGGAGCUGGACAUUUUUUUAGCAGAACUGUUGGAUAAGGAGGACAAAGUCACAGAGCAAAAAAAACACAUUGUCCAGUUAGAGCAAAGUAUAGCCAAACUGACAGCGUCUGAAAUCCAAUACAAAGAGCAGCUGGCAGACGAGAUCAACACAUUUGAGGAACUUGUUCUUCAGAAGUAA